This 522-nucleotide ribosomal RNA is filed under the name Triticum aestivum (bread wheat). Its description in RNAcentral is "partial small subunit ribosomal RNA". The record is from RNAcentral. Lineage: Eukaryota; Viridiplantae; Streptophyta; Magnoliopsida; Poales; Poaceae.
AUGGCGCACCCAGAUCACGCCACAGCUGAGAGGGGCUGGAUUCUUCGAUACGUUGAUGGAAGCACGGCGGAGCCGGCCGAGUUCGUUGUCAGCAAGGACAAGGAUGGAAAGGAGGAAGCCAUCCCCAAUCCCCUCCAUGUCGUCUGGUUCCGAGAGGACCAGCAGGUACUUGGGUAUCUUCUAAAUAAUCUGUCAAAGGAAGUGCUAGUGCAGGUGACUUCCAUCGCGCAUGCACGAGAGCUCUGGACAGCGUUGGCGAGCAUGUUCUCAUCGACGUCGCUGUCCCGCGUCAACAACAUCCGAGCUGCCCUCACCAACGCGCAGAAGGGGACGCAACCGGUGGCUACCUUCUUCGCGUACAUGCGGGGACUCGCCGACGAGCUCGCCGCGGCUGGAAAGCCGUUGAAGGAUGAUGAGCUCAUCUUGUAUAUCCUCAACGCGCUUGACAUGGAGUACCAGCCACUUCCGCCCUCGACGCCAGGACCACUCCGGUCACCCUCGACGAGUUGUUCGGACAGAUGA